AGAAUGCAUUUUUUCUUCUUGAUUAACAUCUCUAAUGGGCUCCCUGACAGUGUGAAAGCUGAAGUCAAGUCUUAAGCAAGGCAUCCCUUAUCUACAGGUCAUAGAUCCUGACGAAGGGCAAACAACGCAUCACCCGUGAGAGCUGGAUUUGCAAACUGAACCCACAACGUGGCAGUGAGUGGCCCAACUCAAAUGGGUAAGGAGUCGAACACAGACCCUGGCUACAUCACAGCUCAGGUACUAUGUUCCUGUUAUGUGCCAAGAAACAGCGAUGAACAAGCAGACCCUCUCCAAAAAGACUCUGCUUUAAUGGAAUUUACAUUCUAGUGGAGAAGACAGACAAAUGUGAAGAUUCCAAGCAUGAAAACUCUAACUCAUCAGAACCUAACCACAACCAAGACUGAAGUAAUCAUCUGGUUCCAUGCGAAUUCUUCCCAUUCUUUACCUACCGCUUUCCACCCAGGAGAAGAUGGAGAGGCAGUCACAAGGCCAAGCUACUCCGGGCUGACAGGGUCCUCGUCAGAGUCCCCAUCACCUCAUCUGUUUUCCCCCAAAGCCCGCUAGGCUUCCAGGCGGAAGGCUCUGAACCCAGCUUGAGCAGACUAGGGGAGGGGAGAGGGGCUCUCCUGCAGAGCUUCCAGGGGUGGAGCCUGAUUCUAAGGUCUGGCUGCUGUCUGCAGGCUUGUGUCACCAACCCAGAUUUGUCACCCCUUCCUCUCCAUGCCCUAUGCUUUGUGAUUUUGCAGUCCUCCCCAUGAUGGAGUGCAGCGUAUUUCCCCACUUGUUAACUUUGUCUUUUGAUAAUGUGACAGUUCUGAGCCUAGGUUUUAAGAGGCCUUGUGUGUGUCUGCCCACCUCCAGGUGCCUCUACCCUCUCCACUGACCCAGGAGGAGGCUGAGAGGUACAUGGUGCAAAGCUGCAUCCCAACUGUCCAGCCAAGUCUGGCCAAGAUCAGCUGGUUACAGGUGACCCACGAACCAAUGAACUCAAAAAGUUCUUACUACUGUAUACCACUGAAUCCAAAAUUGGAGUGGUCUGAUAUGGUAUGCAGCAAUUGCAAUUGGUAAUGGCCCAUUUACAACCAGGAAAGAGAUCCAUGUAUACAAGUAGACCAAUCCUCUGGAGGGAAGGGCUGAGGAAUUAUCUAAAAAUCAUCUAAAAUUAAGAGUCGGGUAGGUUUCCCAGGUGUAUGCCCUUCUUAGAGUGGAGGGCCACUGCCCAGGGACCAAGGCCUCUCUCUGCCUCCGCCACCUGGGCCGCCAGUUGAAAGCCUUCAUUUCACAUGGCAAAGCCCUGAUGAGACAUUCCCCAUCUCUUUUCUCAUCCUCCUGGCCUCUAAAAAAAGAAAAAAAAAAUCAAAACCACCACCAUCUAUCUGUUAGGGACUCUCUUCAAACAAUGGUUUUUGAACCUGCCUUAGACUCCUUAUAGCAUUCGUGAUCGGGACAGGCUCCCGUGUGAAUACUUCCGUGGGCCAAGGGCCAGAGACAUGGGAGACUCCUCAUUUAGGGGGCAGUCAGCUGCCGGGAGAUCCUUUUUUUUUUUUGUGCCACACAGGCCAGCAUCCCCACUGGCCCCAGAGGGGCCAAAGCUUUCAUAAUGUGAGCACAGGUCCCAGCAGCUUAGAUGUGAGCUGUUUGGGGAUAAAUAACUGGAUUAUUCAUUCUUCUGUUCAUGAAAGGCCAGUGGUCUGACGUUUCUACUGGUCAUGGUUGGCAUAUAGAACAGAGCCUCAUUUUUCCUGCUGUUCAUAUAAAUGGACUCACCCUGCCCAGACUCCCUGCUGUAAA
Molecule: long non-coding RNA, 1791 nt
Organism: Canis lupus familiaris (dog)
Lineage: Eukaryota; Metazoa; Chordata; Mammalia; Carnivora; Canidae
Exons: 3
Source: RefSeq, a predicted model, not a curated record